Molecule: long non-coding RNA, 2731 nt
Organism: Ictalurus punctatus (channel catfish)
Lineage: Eukaryota; Metazoa; Chordata; Actinopteri; Siluriformes; Ictaluridae
Source: Ensembl
GGCUUCUUUAGAUAUUAUGAUGGAAAUAUUCUUCAAGGCGGCAUGCUUGGCUUAGUUUAAUAUCCUAAAUGCACUACAGAGCUUGCUUAAUUUCCUCCUUAGAUAUGCAGCCAUCCGAUGCUGUCACUGUAUCUCUGUGUUGCUGGUGGGUUGGGGUGGAGAAUAUUGCACUGGCAUUGCUGAAUAGCUUCUCUGUGCACGGCGCUGAGUUUUGUGUGUGUGUGUGUGUGUGUGUGUGUGUGGGUGAGGGAACGUGUGUGAGACAUGAGCAUGACUCACUCUGUAUUUUCUAUUGACUCGACAAGCCUGCGUCACUGACUAUCUCAUAUGAACUGAAUCCAAUAGGAUAACUACUUGCAAUCGCUCUUGGCUAAGACAAGUGUGUGUGUGUGUCAGUGUGUUUGAAGUAUUUGUUCACGAAGAUAGGUCUGGAUAACUGUAUUUACAAUGCAGUCUUCUGGUUUGUGUGUCAGUGUAUAGAAAAUGACAUUAUUCGUGGAGCGGAGGCGUGCGGGCUGAGCCGGAUCCUGAAUGCUGCACUGACAAUGAAGCUUGGAGGGACUUCAAGGUCACACCGCAGAGAGCUCUGUGAAUGAGAAAGUGAGAGGAAGAAAAAGAGAAGGUGGGGGGAGAACUGUGAGAGCAAAGCGAGCUGGAGGCAAAACGCCGAUUCGCCAUGCGAUGCUUGCAUAUCAAGUUGCUGCCCUGUGUCCAAAUUAAGAAGGCAAGAGAACAUCGCAGUCACCGAGCCAUGGAGUGACAGGUAUUCCCCGUUCCUAUAUUAUCUCGACUAUUUGCUCAGACUAGUGGAGCAGAACACCCCUGUGCAUCUUGCUCGCUCUUUCAAAUCAGCCUGACUCCACUGUUCCGGAUUCCUGCCUUCCUCCCAUCGACCUUCCCACAGGUAACACUCCUGGACUGAACUCAAGGCAAACAAAGCACGCUCUGUCCAGAUUCAUCUGAGAAAAGGGCAGCACUUUCACUGACUAUUCGAGCACCAUGGGCGCUGCAUAAUUGCACUGACUAGAGAAGUUUCACAGCAACGCUGGGUAAGGAAUAAAACACUUCAGGGUGCACUGUAUUAGGAAAAUAAUCACUGACGGUUUGGUGCAUCGUGAAGAACAGGAGUUGAUAAUUUUCCAAUAGCAGCACAUCCUAAAGUCUUUUAUUUCUCUUCCAGUGAUUUCAAACAACAUGUCAUACUUUGAUAACAUUUGGUUAUGACAAGUUAGGGCAUGUACUAAUCAUGAACUAAUGAAGCGCUAACCUUAACUACGAUGUAAGUCUUAUGAACUCAUGUGUGAAUAACGACCACCUUAAGUACAUGUUAGUAAAUGUUUGUUAGUUAAUGUAUUAAUUAACAUGUAGGAUAAAUGAAAUCAAACAUGCACUAUAAGAAACAAUAUAAAUAAAACAUGCAUAAUGCAUGUACACACAAACAUCAUUGGAUGGGGUUGGAUUACUUGAAUAAUUUACACUGACCCUCCACACUCAUAAUAAACAUCAAUAAUUUCAUCUCAGUGCCAUCCAGUGAUGUUUGUAUAUUUAGCUGCAUAUGGCAAAUUAUGUAAACAAUUUGAAAUUAUGCAUGUUUAAUUCAUAUUGUUUCUUAAAAAGCAUGCUUGAUUUAAACUAAUGCGCUUCAUUAGUUUGUGAUAAGUACAUGCCUUAAAUCAUCAUAAGUUCAUAGUUAAGUAAGUAUUAAUUCAGGUAUCAGUGCAUGAUUAUUAAUGUAUUGUUAUUAUAAAGUGUCACCCAUACCUUUGUCAAGUUACAGUUUUACUUAAUGUUGUUGAACAUCCAUAAGACAGUUUAGUUCCUAUUAUCUGUCAAAUCAAAGCAAACCAGUGACUACAUUUCCCAGCCUGCACUGCAGCCUACAAACAUGGCCGCCAUGGACUGCAAUUCCCAGAAACACUCACAUUCAUUCUAAUCACGCACACCUGCAUCAAAUACACAGCACUCACAUCCACAGUAUAAAGGGACUGUUUGAACACUAUGACUUUGCAAAGUAUUGAGUGUUAUCACCGUACCAUGCGUUUGUAUUGUUUCAUGUUUGUUUUGUUUCAUGGUCGUUGAUCUUGUUUCUUCUUUCAUGUUCUCGAUUCUCGCCUUGCCUCGUUUAUGCCUGUUUGCAGAUUUCCUGACCCAUUACCUGUUUUUGACCACAAUAUUGUUUCAUGAUUUGGAUUUGUCUGCCUACAUCUCUUUAUUAAAAGCUCUUAUCUGCACUUGCAUCUGUCCUAACCUCCAUUACGUUAUUAACGUGACAUUAUCACUUAUCACUUAUGUUAUAGCAGCUAAACAGUUCCUCAGCAUCCUUUCUUUUACACUCUCUUCACAUUAGUAAGACAAAAAAAUGCAGCUUGUCGUCUUGCAGAGAAACCAGUAACUGCAAAAUCCUCUGCCCUGACUCCUUCCAUAAUUAUUCAAUAAACCUCUUCUUAAGGAUAUUUUUCUGUCAUUAAUUGUACAUUUUAUAUGUACAUUACUAUGUUUAAUGGGUAAUGACACUUAUUAUACACUCAUUUGUUUAUUAAUGUGGCACAUCAACCAUGCAAACCUGAGAUUUGAUUUACUACUGUCAGAGCAAUGCUGUUAUACAAAAUUAAUCAACAAUUGAACAGCACCAUGGUAUAAAAAUUAUUAUUCUGUAUGACUAUUUGUACAUGUUAAGGAUAAUGGGAAAGUACCGCAUUUGUCAUGAAAUGAGUUCUGUUAUGGAAGGGUG